RNAcentral lists this ribosomal RNA (840 nucleotides) under uncultured bacterium. RNAcentral's name for it is "bacterial SSU rRNA". It matches the Rfam family "Bacterial small subunit ribosomal RNA", at positions 46 to 899 of the family's 1533-position model. The record is from RNAcentral.
GCUUACACAUGCAAGUCGAGGGGUAUAGAAGGCUUGCUUUCUAGAGACCGGCAAACGGGUGCGGAACACGUACACAACCUACCUUUAUCAGGGGAAUAGCCCAGAGAAAUUUGGAUUAAUGCCCCAUAGUAUAUUUUGAUGGCAUCAUUAGAAUAUUAAAGAACUUCGGAUAGAGAUGGGUGUGCGUAAGAUUAGCUAGUUGGUAAGGUAACGGCUUACCAAGGCGACGAUCUUUAGCUGAUGUGAGAGCAUGAUCAGCCACACGGGCACUGAGACACGGGCCCGACUCCUACGGGAGGCAGCAGUGAGGAAUAUUGGUCAAUGGACGGAAGUCUGAACCAGCCAUGCCGCGUGAAGGAUGAAGGCGUUCUGCGUUGUAAACUUCUUUUAUCUGAGAAGAAACCACCGAUUUCUAUUGGUGUUGACGGUAUCAGAUGAAUAAGCACCGGCUAACUCCGUGCCAGCAGCCGCGGUAAUACGGAGGGUGCAAGCGUUAUCCGGAUUUACUGGGUUUAAAGGGUGUGUAGGCGGACUUAUAAGUCAGGGGUGAAAUCUCCGAGCUCAACUCGGAAACUGCCUUUGAUACUAUUAGUCUUGAAUUAUGUUGAGGUUGGCGGAAUAUAACAUGUAGCGGUGAAAUGCAUAGAUAUGUUAUAGAACACCGAUUGCGAACGCAGCUGGCUAAACAUAUAUUGACGCUGAGCACGAAAGCGUGGGUAGCGAACAGGAUUAGAUACCCUGGUAGUCCACGCCCUAAACGAUGAUUACUCGUCAUUGGCGAUACACAGUCAGUGACCAGCGAAAGCGUAGUAUCCACCUGGGAGUACGACCGCAGUGAAC